GACGAACCGUGCGAACGUUAUUCGGAAUCACUGGGCUUAAAGCGCGUGUAGGCGGAUGAGCACGUCUGUCGCUGAAAUCCCCCGGCUCAACCGGGGAACGGGCGGGGAUACGGCUUGUCUGGAGGGGCGUAGGGGGACCUGGAACUUCCGGUGGAGCGGUGAAAUGCGCAGAUAUCAGGAGGAACACCGGUGGCGAAGGCGGGUCUCUGGGCAUUAACUGACGCUGAGGAGCGAAAGCAUGGGGAGCGAACAGG
RNAcentral lists this ribosomal RNA (254 nucleotides) under uncultured bacterium. Its description in RNAcentral is "partial 16S ribosomal RNA". It matches the Rfam family "Bacterial small subunit ribosomal RNA", at positions 524 to 776 of the family's 1533-position model. The record is from RNAcentral.